RNAcentral lists this ribosomal RNA (452 nucleotides) under uncultured Sphingobacteriaceae bacterium. RNAcentral describes it as "bacterial SSU rRNA". It matches the Rfam family "Bacterial small subunit ribosomal RNA", at positions 342 to 791 of the family's 1533-position model. The record is from RNAcentral. Lineage: Bacteria; Pseudomonadati; Bacteroidota; Sphingobacteriia; Sphingobacteriales; Sphingobacteriaceae.
CGGGGGGCAGCAGUAAGGAAUAUUGGUCAAUGGGCGCAAGCCUGAACCAGCCAUGCCGCGUGCAGGAAGACGGCCCUAUGGGUUGUAAACUGCUUUUAUACGGGAAUAAACCUCGGUACGUGUACCGAGCUGAAUGUACCGUAAGAAUAAGGAUCGGCUAACUCCGUGCCAGCAGCCGCGGUAAUACGGAGGAUCCAAGCGUUAUCCGGAUUUAUUGGGUUUAAAGGGUGCGUAGGCGGCUUUUUAAGUCAGGGGUGAAAGACGGUGGCUCAACCAUCGCAGUGCCCUUGAUACUGAAGAGCUUGAAUACACUAGAGGUAGGCGGAAUGAGACAAGUAGCGGUGAAAUGCAUAGAUAUGUCUCAGAACACCAAUUGCGAAGGCAGCUUACUAUGGUGUUAUUGACGCUGAGGCACGAAAGCGUGGGGAUCAAACAGGAUUAGAUACCCGAGU